This 465-nucleotide ribosomal RNA is filed under the name uncultured bacterium. RNAcentral's name for it is "partial 16S ribosomal RNA". It matches the Rfam family "Bacterial small subunit ribosomal RNA", at positions 338 to 795 of the family's 1533-position model. The record is from RNAcentral.
CCUACGGGUGGCAGCAGUGGGGAAUAUUGCGCAAUGGGCGAAAGCCUGACGCAGCGACGCCGCGUGAGGGAUGAAGGUCUUCGGAUCGUAAACCUCUGUCAGCAGGGAAGAACGGUCACUGUGCUAAUCAGCAGUGAAUUGACGGUACCUGCAAAGGAAGCACCGGCUAACUCCGUGCCAGCAGCCGCGGUAAUACGGAGGGUGCGAGCGUUAAUCGGAAUUACUGGGCGUAAAGCGCUCCUAGGCGGUAUGUCAAGUCAAGGGUGAAAGCCCCGCGCUCAACGUGGGAACUGCCUUUGAAACGGGCAAACUGGAGUGUGUGAGAGGAUAGUGGAAUUCCAGGGGUAGGAGUGAAAUCCGUAGAUAUCUGGAGGAACAUCAGUGGCGAAGGCGACUAUCUGGCACAUAACUGACGCUGAGGAGCGAAAGCGUGGGUAGCAAACAGGAUUAGAUACCCCAGUAGUG